This is a long non-coding RNA of Silurus meridionalis, 762 nucleotides long. RefSeq lists it as uncharacterized. The record is from RefSeq and is a predicted model, not a curated record. Lineage: Eukaryota; Metazoa; Chordata; Actinopteri; Siluriformes; Siluridae. The transcript is spliced from 2 exons.
CCUACUUGAACUUUUGGCUUCUUGAUCUUGAUUUGUUCUGGUUCCUGUGGUUUUGAAUCCUGUCUUUUCCUGUGGCUUACCAAUGGAGUCUAAGUUUUUGGCUCCCUGCUCUGAGAGCUAUUGGCCAAACAUUCCAAGCAAUGGCAUUUUUUUUUUUUUUUUUACAUUUAUGGCACUUGGCAGACACCCUUAUCCAGCGGGAUUAACAAAGGCAGAUGAGGGUUAAGUGCCUUCCUCAAGGGCCAAGCAGCGGUAUCUUUAUGGCACGGAGAUUUGAACUUGUGACCUUCCAAUGUUUUAACCAGUGAGCUACCACUUCCCAAAUUUCACAUCUUGGGGCCAAGAAGGAUCUACUGCUCACCAAAGUUGUGCCAGACACAUGAUUCAGAAGCAUGUUUUAACAAGAGCCACAGACCAGGGCCUGGUAUUAACAUGUCCUCCACGGAGUACAAAAAGGGCACGGCCAUCGCUGCAAAUGCCACGCUAGAUGUCUAGGAACUUGUUUGUCAGUUCAUUAAAAAGGUCUGAACAUUACACACUUCACUGCAGGCAACUAAGGAGGGGAGGGUGGUUUAGGACAUUGUCAGAGGCAGUGAAGAUUUUUUGACGAGAUUAAAGGCAGCAAAAUGACAAAACCUUCACAGUCUUGACCUUGUUCUUUGCUUUAAAACCAGCACCACUUCAAAGUCUGCUGAUAUCUAACAGCCGUUCUUGUCCGUACUUUGAAAGCCUGCGAUGAAAUUAAACAUUGCUUUGAAAAUG